This is a long non-coding RNA of Lutzomyia longipalpis, 668 nucleotides long. RefSeq lists it as uncharacterized. The transcript is spliced from 2 exons. The record is from RefSeq and is a predicted model, not a curated record. Lineage: Eukaryota; Metazoa; Arthropoda; Insecta; Diptera; Psychodidae.
CUUGGAGCUUAAGUGUGAUAGCCUCAUAAGAAUCACAGCAAUCUAGUGAGCUAAAAAAAUAACAAAAAAAAAUGUUUGAGGGUUCAUUUUGAUCCUCAUUGAGGAUUAGGAAGAAGGAGUCGUGUUAUUUGAGUAACCUCCAAAUAAUAUUUCCCUGCAUCUUCAGGAGACUCAUUGAGAAUUGCAUCCUCUUCGAGUAAUCUCCCGGACGCAUCUCCUGGACAUUCUGGGGUUUGUAGGGAUGCAUCCCCAGGUACUAGUGGAGGAUGCGCUGAAGAGACCUUCGACUCACCCCUAGUUCCACCGAUCUUCUCCUUGUGGAUGGGGUGCAGUCCUCGUAAAUGCUCUCUUCAUCCCUUUGGAGCUAUCCUGGAUCCUUAUUCUGGGUCCUCACUGUUGGGAUCCUUAUUCUUGGGGCAUUAACAACUGUGCCCCUCGUCAAAAGUGCCUGCCCACAUCUCCUUAUGGUGUUCCCGUGGGGUGGCCGCCUUCCGGAAAACUCGCGCUGAAAGGCCCGUGAUUUGAGCUAGAGAAAUUAAAUUAGGUAGAAUACCUAACCUCAAUUUGGUCGCAUCGCCUUCUUUUAAAUAAAAAAAAAUGCUGUUAAAAUAAUAAAAAGACCCAAAAAAUCUUCUUUCCUUGUCAAUAAACCUUUAUUUUAUUUAGUA